GACGAACGCUGGCGGCGUGCUUAACACAUGCAAGUCGAGCGAUGAAGUUUUUUCGGAAAUGGAUUAGCGGCGAACGGGUGAGGAACACGUGAAGAAUCUGCCCUCCACUUUGGGAUAACACAGGGAAACCUGUGCUAAUACCGAAUAUUGAAACAUAAGUGGCAUCACUGAGUUUUGAAAGAAUUUCGGUGGAGGAUGACUUCGCGGCCCAUCCGCUAGUUGGUGAGGUAAUGGCUCACCAAGGCAACGACGGGUAGCCGGCCUGAGAGGGCGACCGGCCACACGGGGACUGAGACACGGCCCAGACUCCUACGGGAGGCAGCAGUGGGGAAUAUUGGGCAAUGGAGGAAACUCUGACCCAGCGACGCCGCGUGCGGGAUGAAGGCCUUCGGGUUGUAAACCGCUUUCAGUAGGGAAGAAGCGAAAGUGACGGUACCUACAAAAGAAGCACCGGCUAACUAUGUGCCAGCCGCCGCCGUAA
This 481-nucleotide ribosomal RNA is filed under the name uncultured bacterium. RNAcentral describes it as "partial 16S ribosomal RNA". It matches the Rfam family "Bacterial small subunit ribosomal RNA", at positions 28 to 523 of the family's 1533-position model. The record is from RNAcentral.